GUCUUCCUUCUGUCUUGAUUGCUGCUUGUAUUUGCAAAUUAGACUGUUUUUUAGUUGCUGUUCUGCCUUUCUAAUCUGUGGCUGGGUUUGUUGUUUUGGCUUGUUUACUUAUUUUCUGAGUGCUGCAUGGGCCAAUAGUUUCUUAGAAUAUAGGUCUUUGUGGCUUUUGAUAAUUGAAGUUUGUUGAUAUUCCAGUCAUAUGAUCACUAGGAAUUAUUAGCAUCCUGACCUGAUCUGACCUUUGCAAGAACAACAAAGGCGAUUUUCAGUAGGUUUAGUUGUAGAACCGGCCUUGGCAAGAACAACAAAUGUGAUUUUGUGGACCUAAUGUUAAACAUUAAAGAUUGGUGGAACCUAAAUCAAGUUUUGUGACUAUCAGAAUAUGCUAGGGAAUAUGAAUUCCUAACCUGACCCCUCACUGUGUCUGUUUGAUGGAUUUUGCGCAUUUUUGCACCUUGCCUCACUCAGGCCUAACCUCCAUGUCCCCUAGACACCUUAGUGCGCCUUGCACCUUCAAUAACUAUGCUCAACAACACUAUUGGCCUAUUGCUAUUAUUAU
RNAcentral lists this unclassified non-coding RNA (559 nucleotides) under Hevea brasiliensis (rubber tree). Lineage: Eukaryota; Viridiplantae; Streptophyta; Magnoliopsida; Malpighiales; Euphorbiaceae. The record is from RNAcentral.